GUCGAACGUGAAAGCACUUCGGCGUGAGUAGAGUGGCGGACGGGUGAGUAACGCGUGGGAAUCUACCCAGUAGUGGGGGACAACUACCGGAAACGGUAGCUAAUACCGCAUACGCCCUAUGGGGGAAAGGCUUCGGCCGCUAUUGGAUGAGCCCGCGUCAGAUUAGCUAGUUGGUAGGGUAAAGGCCUACCAAGGCAACGAUCUGUAGCUGGUCUGAGAGGACGAACAGCCACACUGGGACUGAGACACGGCCCAGACUCCUACGGGAGGCAGCAGUGGGGAAUAUUGGACAAUGGGCGAAAGCCUGAUCCAGCAAUGCCGCGUGUGUGAAGAAGGCCUGCGGGUUGUAAAGCACUUUCAGUUGGGAAGAUGAUGACGUUACCAACAGAAGAAGCACCGGCUAAAUCCGUGCCAGCAGCCGCGGUAAUACGGAUGGUGCGAGCGUUAAUCGGAAUUACUGGGCGUAAAGCGCGCGUAGGCGGCUAAGUCAGUCAGAAGUGAAAGCCCCGGGCUCAACCUGGGAAUUGCUUUUGAUACUGCUUAGCUAGAGUUUGGUAGAGGAUAGUGGAAUUCCAGGUGUAGCGGUGAAAUGCGUAGAUAUCUGGAGGAACAUCAGUGGCGAAGGCGACUGUCUGGACCAAAACUGACGCUGAGGUGCGAAAGCGUGGGUAGCAAACAGGAUUAGAUACCCUGGUAGUCCACGCCGUAAACGAUGUCAACUAGCCGUCGGGUCUAUUUACAGACUUGGUGGCGCAGCUAACGCGAUAAGUUGACCGCCUGGGGAGUACGGGCCGCAAGGUUAAAACUC
This 808-nucleotide ribosomal RNA is filed under the name uncultured Gammaproteobacteria bacterium. Its description in RNAcentral is "bacterial SSU rRNA". It matches the Rfam family "Bacterial small subunit ribosomal RNA", at positions 61 to 902 of the family's 1533-position model. Lineage: Bacteria; Pseudomonadati; Pseudomonadota; Gammaproteobacteria. The record is from RNAcentral.